AGUGAACGCUGGCGGUAGGCCUAACACAUGCAAGUCGAACGGCAGCACAGUAAGAGCUUGCUCUUACGGGUGGCGAGUGGCGGACGGGUGAGGAAUACAUCGGAAUCUACUUUUUCGUGGGGGAUAACGUAGGGAAACUUACGCUAAUACCGCAUACGACCUACGGGUGAAAGCAGGGGAUCUUCGGACCUUGCGCGAUUGAAUGAGCCGAUGUCGGAUUAGCUAGUUGGCGGGGUAAAGGCCCACCAAGGCGACGAUCCGUAGCUGGUCUGAGAGGAUGAUCAGCCACACCGGAACUGAGACACGGUCCAGACUCCUACGGGAGGCAGCAGUGGGGAAUAUUGGACAAUGGGCGCAAGCCUGAUCCAGCCAUACCGCGUGGGUGAAGAAGGCCUUCGGGUUGUAAAGCCCUUUUGUUGGGAAAGAAAAGCAGCAGGUUAAUACCCCGCUGUUCCGACGGUACCCAAAGAAUAAGCACCGGCUAACUUCGUG
This 492-nucleotide ribosomal RNA is filed under the name uncultured bacterium. RNAcentral's name for it is "partial 16S ribosomal RNA". It matches the Rfam family "Bacterial small subunit ribosomal RNA", at positions 29 to 507 of the family's 1533-position model. The record is from RNAcentral.